AAGAGCAAUACGAAUACAACGCCCAAUUUACAGUGGCUUCAAGUUUUGAACUUCUGAAUUAAAGGAACAUGAAAAUAAUAAUAACAAUAAUAAUAAAGGUAUAAGCUAACAAAGAGAGAACAGAAAUAGGUUAAGCCAUCUAGAAUAUCGGGAGGAUAGAAAAGGGGUAGCUCAUUAACACACCCCUACGUCUUGCAUAAGGAGCCUUCUAAAUUUUGAGAAGCUUCCCA
Molecule: unclassified non-coding RNA, 230 nt
Filed under: Hevea brasiliensis (rubber tree)
Lineage: Eukaryota; Viridiplantae; Streptophyta; Magnoliopsida; Malpighiales; Euphorbiaceae
Source: RNAcentral